Molecule: ribosomal RNA, 854 nt
Filed under: fungal sp. mh1210.4
Lineage: Eukaryota; Fungi
Description: eukaryotic LSU rRNA
Rfam family: Eukaryotic large subunit ribosomal RNA
Source: RNAcentral
ACCCGCUGAACUUAAGCAUAUCAAUAAGCGGAGGAAAAGAAACCAACAGGGAUUGCCCUAGUAACGGCGAGUGAAGCGGCAACAGCUCAAAUUUGAAAUCUGGCCUUCGGGUCCGAGUUGUAAUUUGUAGAGGAUGCUUUUGGUGAGGUACCUUCCGAGUUCCCUGGAACGGGACGCCAUAGAGGGUGAGAGCCCCGUCUGGUUGGAUACCGAUCCUCUGUAAAGCUCCUUCGACGAGUCGAGUAGUUUGGGAAUGCUGCUCUAAAUGGGAGGUAUAUGUCUUCUAAAGCUAAAUAUUGGCCAGAGACCGAUAGCGCACAAGUAGAGUGAUCGAAAGAUGAAAAGCACUUUGAAAAGAGAGUUAAAAAGUACGUGAAAUUGUUGAAAGGGAAGCGCUCAUGACCAGACUUGGGCUUGGUUGAUCAUCCAGGGUUCUCCCUGGUGCACUCUUCCAGCCCAGGCCAGCAUCAGUUCGCUGUGGGGGAUAAAGGCUUCGGGAAUGUGGCUCCUCCGGGAGUGUUAUAGCCCGCUGCGUAAUACCCUGUGGUGGACUGAGGUUCGCGCAUCUGCAAGGAUGCUGGCGUAAUGGUCAUCAGCGACCCGUCUUGAAACACGGACCAAGGAGUCGUCUUCGUAUGCGAGUGUUCGGGUGUUAAACCCCUACGCGUAAUGAAAGUGAACGCAGGUGAGAGCUUCGGCGCAUCAUCGACCGAUCCUGAUGUUCUCGGAUGGAUUUGAGUAAGAGCAUACGGGGCCGGACCCGAAAGAAGGUGAACUAUGCCUGUAUAGGGUGAAGCCAGAGGAAACUCUGGUGGAGGCUCGCAGCGGUUCUGACGUGCAAAUCGAUCGUCAAA